Molecule: non-coding RNA, 2281 nt
Organism: Cyanistes caeruleus (blue tit)
Lineage: Eukaryota; Metazoa; Chordata; Aves; Passeriformes; Paridae
Source: RefSeq, a predicted model, not a curated record
UGCAACAUCCAAAAGCGGAUCAAUUUUGUGGGACAUGGCACAAGGAAAUAAUUAUGGGCAAAGCAGCAAUGGGGUGGCUGAUGAAUCCCCAAACAUGCUGGUGUACAGAAAGAUGGAAGACGUCAUAGCCCGCAUGCAAGAUGAGAAAAAUGGGAUUCCUAUUCGUACAGUGAAAAGUUUUCUUUCCAAGAUUCCCAGUGUCUUUUCUGGUUCAGAUAUUGUUCAAUGGUUAACAAAGAACUUAUCGAUAGAAGACCCAGUUGAAGCUCUGCAUUUGGGAACUCUGAUGGCAGCACAUGGCUAUUUCUUUCCAAUCUCAGACCAUGUUCUAACACUGAAGGAUGAUGGCACCUUUUAUCGAUUCCAGACACCCUAUUUUUGGCCAUCAAAUUGUUGGGAGCCGGAAAACACAGACUAUGCUGUUUACCUCUGCAAGCGGACAAUGCAAAACAAAGCAAGACUAGAACUAGCAGACUAUGAAGCUGAGAGUUUGGCCAGGCUACAGAGAGCUUUUGCUCGGAAAUGGGAGUUUAUUUUUAUGCAAGCUGAAGCACAAGCGAAGGUUGACAAGAAGAGAGACAAGAUAGAGAGGAAGAUUCUUGACAGUCAGGAGCGAGCAUUUUGGGAUGUGCACCGUCCUGUGCCUGGCUGUGUAAACACUACUGAAGUGGAUAUAAAAAAGUCUUCAAGAAUGAGAAAUCCACAUAAAACAAGAAAGUCUGUCUAUGGCUUACAAAACGACAUUCGAAGUCACAGCCCUACGCACACGCCAGUGCCUGAGACUAAGCCACCCACAGAAGAUGAACUACACCAAGAGAUUAAGCACUGGCAAAUGCAAUUAGACAGACAUAGAUUAAAAAUGUCAAAAGUUGCAGAGAGUCUAUUAGCUUAUACAGAGCAGUAUUUGGAAUAUGAUCCUUUUCUUGUGCCCCCUGAUCCCUCAAACCCUUGGAUAUCAGAUGACACCACUUUCUGGGAACUGGAGGCAAGCAAAGAGCCAGGACAGCAGAGAGUGAAACGAUGGGGAUUUGGCAUGGAUGAAGCUUUGAAAGACCCUGUGGGAAGAGAGCAGUUUCUGAAAUUCUUGGAGUCAGAAUUCAGUUCAGAAAAUUUAAGGUUCUGGUUAGCAGUAGAAGACCUGAAGAAGAGGCCAAUCCGUGAAGUUCCUGCUCGCGUCCAAGAAAUCUGGCAAGAAUUUCUUGCUCCAGGUGCACCCAGCGCUAUCAACCUAGAUUCAAAAAGUUAUGACAAAACCACUCAGAAUGUGAAGGAACCUGGAAGAUACACAUUUGAAGAUGCUCAGGAGCACAUUUACAAACUGAUGAAAAGUGAUUCUUAUCCUCGUUUUAUACGAUCCAGUGCCUACCAGGAGCUGCUACAGGCCAAGAAAAAGUUGGAAAACACUCUGGAUCGUCGAACAUCUUUUGAGAAAUUCACACGCAAUGUGGGCAGAAACAUCCCUAUUUUUCCAUGCCAUAAAAACUGUACACCAACACUGAGGGCGAGCACUAACCUGUUAUGAAAAGAGAGAAAACUCUGAAAUAAAGUCAGUGGUUUUGCUUUUUUUCCAACUAUUACCUGUUAACCUGGGUGGAGUCUGUCAAGUCGGGUCAGGGGAAAUCGCUCACAUCAAAGAGGUUAACCAGUCUAGUGCAGUCCUACUAAAAGGAUCACCUUGUAGCAUGGAAGCAGACUCAAAUCAUUAUACAUACUUUGUAGCUCACUGAUUGCCUGACUCAGAGGACAGUAGAACAAGAUGUUGCAUGAGCAAGGACCUGACUUGUUUUCUUUUGUGUAUACUAAGGCAUUACAGACUCCGAGGGACUCUCUAGCCUUUCGAUGCCUCCAUUUCGAAAACUGUCUGCUCACUUCCUCCUUCAUAUCAAGCUGGAUCUGUGUCUUUUUAUUUUCUGCAAGCUCAAGUACAGUGAAAAAAAAGCUUCUGCUAGGCACAGUUUAUUAAAAAAAUACGUCAAUCAAAAACUGGAAGAAAUGUAAAAAAUGCAUAUAUUAAUAAAUAUACAUAUGGCAUCACAUUUAUUGCACAAUAAAUUAGCACAGAAGGUUUCAUUUCACUGAUGUAUUCACAUUGAGAAAGAAAGCCUGUGUCUUUGUCUGUUGUCUGUAUAUUCUCUGUUAAUGUUUCUUGCAUUUAUUUUUAUACCAUAUUUAAAAAAGAACACCUUUUACUCCAGAUGUAUUAAAGUUGAUCCUUUCUCUGUAAAUUUGUGUAUGUUUAUAUUGUUGUUUUAUCUUUCAUUAAAAGAUGCAGAAUCUCUUU